CUCUGUUAUAACUGGAGGUAUGGGAUGCGGCCUGUACGCAGAACCUUUCAUGAGCUCCGAGUGAAAAGAGGUUAUUGCAGAUCAUGUGAGCCAUUGGAACCAUUACUUGGAGGGAUACUGUAUUUUCUUAGAUAA
RNAcentral lists this long non-coding RNA (135 nucleotides) under Chinchilla lanigera (long-tailed chinchilla). RNAcentral describes it as "lncRNA (ENSCLAG00000023687.1)". Lineage: Eukaryota; Metazoa; Chordata; Mammalia; Rodentia; Chinchillidae. The record is from RNAcentral.